Molecule: ribosomal RNA, 233 nt
Filed under: uncultured Actinomycetales bacterium
Lineage: Bacteria; Bacillati; Actinomycetota; Actinomycetes; Actinomycetales
Description: partial 16S ribosomal RNA
Rfam family: Bacterial small subunit ribosomal RNA
Source: RNAcentral
GGCGAACGGGUGAGUAACACGUGGGUGAUCUGCCCUUCACUUCGGGAUAAGCCUGGGAAACUGGGUCUAAUACUGGAUAGGACCAUCGUUUAGUGUCGGUGGUGGAAAGUUUUUCGGUGGAGGAUGAGCUCGCGGCCUAUCAGCUUGUUGGUGGGGUAGUGGCCUGCCAAGGCGACGACGGGUAGCCGGCCUGAGAGGGUGGACGGCCACAUUGGGACUGAGACACGGCCCAG